CCUACGGGAGGCAGCAGUGAGGAAUAUUGGUCAAUGGACGAGAGUCUGAACCAGCCAAGUAGCGUGAAGGAUGACUGCCCUAUGGGUUGUAAACUUCUUUUACAUGGGAAUAAAACGUUCCACGCGUGGGACUUCGUAUGUACCAGAUGAAUAAGGAUCGGCUAACUCCGUGCCAGCAGCCGCGGUAAUACGGAGGAUCCGAGCGUUAUCCGGAUUUAUUGGGUUUAAAGGGAGCGUAGGUGGAUAGUUAAGUCAGUUGUGAAAGUUUGCGGCUCAACCGUAAAAUUGCAGUUGAAACUGGCAGUCUUGAGUACGGUAGAGGUGGGCGGAAUUCGUGGUGUAGCGGUGAAAUGCUUAGAUAUCACGAAGAACUCCGAUUGCGAAGGCAGUUCACUGGACUGCAACUGACACUGAGGCUCGAAAGUGUGGGUAUCGAACAGGAUUAGAUACCCGUGUAGUC
Molecule: ribosomal RNA, 460 nt
Filed under: uncultured bacterium
Lineage: Bacteria
Description: partial 16S ribosomal RNA
Rfam family: Bacterial small subunit ribosomal RNA
Source: RNAcentral